AACGAACGCUGGCGGCAUGCCUAACACAUGCAAGUCGAACGAGACCUUCGGGUCUAGUGGCGCACGGGUGCGUAACGCGUGGGAACCUGCCCUUAGGUUCGGAAUAACUCCCCGAAAGGGGUGCUAAUACCGGAUAAUGUCUUCGGACCAAAGAUUUAUCGCCUUUGGAUGGGCACGCGUUGGAUUAGCUAGUUGGUAGGGUAAAAGCCUACCAAGGCGACGCUCCAUAGCUGGUCUGAGAGGAUGAUCAGCCACACUGGGACGGAGACACGGCCGAGACUCCUACGGGAGGCAGAAGUGGGGAAUAUUGGACAAUGGGCGAAAGCGUGAUACAGCCAGACCGCGUGGGUGAAGAAGGCUUUAGGGUGGUAAAGCCCGUUUGUUGGGAAAGAAAAGCAGCAGGUUAAUACCCCGCGGUUCUGACGGUACCCAAAGAAUAAGCACCGGCUAACUUCGUG
RNAcentral lists this ribosomal RNA (458 nucleotides) under uncultured bacterium. Its description in RNAcentral is "partial 16S ribosomal RNA". It matches the Rfam family "Bacterial small subunit ribosomal RNA", at positions 29 to 507 of the family's 1533-position model. The record is from RNAcentral.